AACGAACGCUGGCGGCAUGCCUAACACAUGCAAGUCGAACGAGACCUUCGGGUCUAGUGGCGCACGGGUGCGUAACGCGUGGGAACCUGCCCUUAGGUUCGGAAUAACUCCCCGAAAGGGGUGCUAAUACCGGAUAAUGUCUUCGGACCAAAGAUUUAUCGCCUUUGGAUGGGCCCGCGUUGGAUUAGCUAGUUGGUAGGGUAAAAGCCUACCAAGGCGACGAUCCAUAGCUGGUCUGAGAGGAUGAUCGGCCACACUGGGACUGAGACACGGCCCAGACUCCUACGGGAGGCAGCAGUGGGGAAUAUUGGACAAUGGGCGAAAGCCUGAACCAGCAAUGCCGCGUGAGUGAUGAAGGCCUUAGGGUUGUAAAGCUCUUUUACCCGGGAUGAUAAUGACAGUACCGGGAGAAUAAGCUCCGGCUAACUCCGUG
Molecule: ribosomal RNA, 433 nt
Filed under: uncultured bacterium
Lineage: Bacteria
Description: partial 16S ribosomal RNA
Rfam family: Bacterial small subunit ribosomal RNA
Source: RNAcentral